GAUGAACGCUGGCGGCGUGCCUAAUACAUGCAAGUCGAGCGAACAGACGAGGAGCUUGCUCCUCUGACGUUAGCGGCGGACGGGUGAGUAACACGUGGAUAACCUACCUAUAAUACUGGGAUAACUUCGGGAAACCGGAGCUAAUACCGGAUAAUAUAUUGAACCGCAUGGUUCAAUAGUGAAAGACGGUUUUGCUGUCACUUAUAGAUGGAUCCGCGCCGCAUUAUCUAGUUGGUAAGGUAACGGCUUACCAAGGCAACGAUGCGUAGCCGACCUGAGAGGGUGAUCGGCCACACUGGAACUGAGACACGGUCCAGACUCCUACGGGAGGCAGCAGUAGGGAAUCUUCCGCAAAGGGCGAAAGCCUGACGGAGCAACGCCGCGUGAGUGAUGAAGGUCUUCGGAUCGUAAAACUCUGUUAUUAGGGAAGAACAAAUGUGUAAGUAACUAUGCACGUCUUGACGGUACCUAAUCAGAAAGCCACGGCUAACUACGUG
This 497-nucleotide ribosomal RNA is filed under the name uncultured bacterium. RNAcentral describes it as "partial 16S ribosomal RNA". It matches the Rfam family "Bacterial small subunit ribosomal RNA", at positions 28 to 507 of the family's 1533-position model. The record is from RNAcentral.